RNAcentral lists this ribosomal RNA (625 nucleotides) under uncultured bacterium. Its description in RNAcentral is "bacterial SSU rRNA". It matches the Rfam family "Bacterial small subunit ribosomal RNA", at positions 10 to 648 of the family's 1533-position model. The record is from RNAcentral.
AGUUUGAUCAUGGCUCAGAAUGAACGUUGGCGGCGUGGAUUAGGCAUGCAAGUCGAGCGAGAACCGUAGCAAUACGGGGACAGCGGCGAAAGGGAGAGUAAUGCGUGGAUACCUACCCUCGGGUCCGGGAUAGCUGCGGGAAACUGCAGGUAAUACCGGAUGACAUCUCCGGAUCAAAGGUGUGAUUCCGCCCGGGGAGGGGUCCGCGUCCUAUUAGCUAGUUGGCGAGGUAACGGCUCACCAAGGCUGAGAUGGGUAUGGGAUGUGAGAGCAUGAUCCCACUCACUGGGACUGAGACACUGCCCAGACACCUACGGGUGGCUGCAGUCGAGAAUCUUCGGCAAUGGGGGCAACCCUGACCGAGCGACGCCGCGUGCGAGAUGAAGGCCUUCGGGUUGUAAGUCGCUGUCAGAGGGGAGGAAAUGCCGGUGAGUUCUCUCAUCGGUUUGACCUAUCCUCAGAGGAAGGACGGGCUAAGUUCGUGCCAGCAGCCGCGGUAAGACGGACCGUCCAAACGUUAUUCGGAAUCACUGGGCUUAAAGGGUGCGUAGGCGGUCCGGGAAGUUGGGUGUGAAAGCCCUCGGCUCAACCGAGGAAUUGCGCCCAAAACUGCCGGACUCGAGGG